GCAGAGAAUCUAGGCCACUGUGACUUGGUCUUCCCCUCUCUGGGAUAUCACAAAGGCCAUAUGAGGUCAGUGAACCAAUCUACAAGAGAAGGGCUGAGCAGGGGACCUGAGAUGAUUUUCUCCAAUAUUUAGUCAGACUGAUUUUCUGGAUCCAAGUUUCUCAACUUACCAAAUGUGGGCAAAUCAUUAUAUUGCUCCCAGCCUUAAAAAUCUUCAAUAAGUUAAAGAGAGGACUCAGGCUUAAUGGCAAUCCUGUUAUCUUACCAAUGAGGAGACUAAACACCUAGUUGGAGAUCACCUCCUUACUGGCUCAGAGCUUCAGGAAAUAGCUCAAGGAUGUGCAAAUACUAAACAGUAGAGCUGGGAUUUAGAUCCACAUCUACUUAAUUUUAGUGCGUAUGCUCUAACUGCUGCCACAGAAGGGAUGCAGAGGAAGACGGUCAGUUACCCAGAGGGUGAUAUCUUUGACUUAAUGUUCACCAUAAAGACAGCUAUCAACAAAAGACUUGAAUUCUAACUUGUUAUCUAUUGCAGGAAAGUGCCUGCAAUAUGCCAUUGUGACAAGGCACCAUCAAUCAUCAUGUCCCUUUACCAGGAGGGCCCGUGUCAUAAGCCACUAUAUAAAGGGAAUGAUGGGUGGACUGCUUUGGACAAAUGGACCUGCGGUAGGAGAGAGGGACAACAGUAGGAGCAGGCAGAUCUUGCUGUUUCAACCAAAACCUCAUGCUGACCAGAGUUGAGGAACAGAAGAAGAUGGUGAAGGCCUGCAGGUAUAGGUGUUCAGCAUGUCAUCUGAAAUAUUCCCCACAGAGGCAAAAAGAAAGGAAAUUAUCUCUGAAAAGGAAUGGGAGGACAAGUCAGCAGAAUAUGUCAAUGUUUUGGUUGAAGAAGCUGCUUGAAUCUGGGCUUUUCUGUGCCAUGUGUUCUCCCAGGGCCAGCACAAAGAAGGGCUUUUGGUGCAGGCCCAAGACCACCAUAAUCAUCAUUGAUUAUUCCUCUCCACGCCAGUGUCUCUAAAUAAACUUUCUCUUCUUUCUCUGACAAAGGUGUUUUUGAGUGUUACUGUUUAGCUGAAGAGUGACGUUGAGUGACCUUAGUACCCUAGCCCUUCAUGUAAUCAGAUGGGUGUUGUAAGCAGAGGGAGAACCAUAAAUGAAGAUGCUUGUUUUCCUAGAAACAAGCCCAGGUCAUCCAUCAUGAAGUCCAGGAAUUGUAAAUGUGAGGAAGUGCAAAGACACAACGUACACUUACAAAGGCAUAUGUGCAUUUGGAAUUCUUUAAAGGACAACAUCCUCGAGCUUCUCCUGGGCCUCAGCCAAAACGGAGACACAAAAUGCAUCAUGCUAACAUUGUUGUAUGUAUGUGUAUGACUACAUAAUAUUCUAUCAUUUUGUUU
This 1396-nucleotide long non-coding RNA is filed under the name Homo sapiens (human). RNAcentral describes it as "HSALNT0308927". The record is from RNAcentral. Lineage: Eukaryota; Metazoa; Chordata; Mammalia; Primates; Hominidae.